RNAcentral lists this long non-coding RNA (5921 nucleotides) under Mytilus galloprovincialis (Mediterranean mussel). The record is from RNAcentral. Lineage: Eukaryota; Metazoa; Mollusca; Bivalvia; Mytilida; Mytilidae.
UACCAACAUGUUAAAAGGUAUGUAACGUUAUUAUAAUCAUAAGAGUAACUAACAGUGACUUACUUUUUGUAUUUAAAAAAAAACCUUUUUCAAAAUAUAAUCUGCAUUUUAACUGCUACAACUGUUUUACAUUUUUUAAGUUGUAAGAACAUAUAGUGUAAAUACAUUUUUUUAUCAUAUUGUUAGAAGCAAUCAUCAUAGUUCGUACACUUGUGUUUGGUUCGUCUGAAAGUCUAUUCCUGCUUUAUCUUCACCAGGAGCGCUAAAACCAAUAAAUGUAAAUACCAAAGAUGUAAUAAAAUUUGACAUGAAAAAAUAAACAAACCCAUGUGAAGUCAACUUUCUUAGAUAUAUUCCAAAUUAUGUUCAACAUUUUAUAUUAAAUAUACAUUAUGUCACCUUUUCCUAUUUUUUGCAUUUCUCAAUUCAAUGGUUAUGGUUUCAGUUAUACAUACCAGUAGCAAGAGAGGGUUCGGGGGUUCGGGGAUUCGGACGACCCCCUUGAAAGCAAAUAAGCACUGUUAAAAUCAACAUUCUGUUUGAGUUGUGUCUGUUCAAGUUAAGUUCGUGAGUCGAAAUAACCCCCUUUUAAAAUUUCUGGCUACGGGCCUGAGUUAGACAUCUUUUGAACCUAUGCGCUAUUGGUAGUAGUAUACAGAUAUUCGGAUUUUGAUGAAUCUUGAAAGAGUUGCUUUUUUUUUGUUAUACUAAGAAUGAACCGCUCUCAAUAUCCCUCUUUCUAAGAAGUGACAGAUUUCAGAAAAGAUUUCAUAGACUGAUCGUUAGUAUCAAAAUACAAACAAAAGCUGAGGUGAACGCUAUUUGUGUAUUCAAAACAUAUUAUACGGUUUCGAAAUGAAAAACAUGAACCUAAAAUAUAUUUUAACAGGUAAAUAGAGCUUUCAAUAUUGGAACAUUGCUCGCUAUUGUCUUUUGAGACUUUAGAUUGUCCUGAUAAGUACUCAAUGCAAACGUUGUAACUACAAGUGAUACAAGAGAUGUUAUUAAUUUAUAGGCCAUCAGAAGUUAGUUGAGAAAAAAAUGUGACAGAUCUUUGAUAAGGUUUCCCUAAACAAUAUCUGUAAAUUCCCAUCACUGAUUGAAAAUUCCCCUAACAAACCAGGAAGUUGACAAGGAAAACAAUUUAGAUAAACCUGUGACGAAAGUUCCAGAUAAGAGUCAAGGUUAUAUAUAUCAACUGAUGUAUUUUUGUAUGUUUGGAGAUACUUGAGUGAUACUUAUAAAUAAAAUGCACAAACUCAUAGUUUAAAAAAUUACAUAACAAAGCGAUUUAAAUGAUAUUAAUCCCCAGCCUAUCUAUCUAAAUGAAACAAAUAUUUUAAAAAAGAUUUAUAACUUAACCUGCAUACAAGUAAUGUGGUAUACAUAUGCGAUUUGCAAACCAAAAUUCACAUUAAACAAACUUCCGUUUGGGUUUGUUCCUGUGCCGUGACAAAAUAUAAAAUUUCCAUAUGGGUAUUUACCUCAUCUUAUCAGAUAUAUCAUUCAUUGUACUUUAUAACUAAUAAUUGGUAUGAUUUGAAAUUAUUUUUCUAAUUUAAGAGAAUGACGGCCACUUUAAAAAGAAACACAAUAAAAAAAAUAUAGCUAUAAGAAAAUUAGACAUACGAAUGGUUGCCUAUUUCAUAUAAGUUCAUAUUUAUAAAGUCAGAACACAUGGAUCAUUAUAUUCAUUUAUAGUAUCUAAGUUUAAAGAUGGAGUGCAAAGGUAGAAUAAUAUAUGUACUUUUCUUAUUCAUUUGACUAAACCUGUUUGAGAACCAGCAACCAAUUUAAGUCAAUAGACCUCUAUGUUUUCCGUUGAAUAAUUACUGACGGUAAAUGCUUAUUUAAAAGGCACAGACUUAAGGCUUAUAGCAACCAUCGUUCUGAUAAUUUUCUCAUAGAAAAUAUCUUGUUCGAUACAACUAACAUAAUUUUACUGAAUUAAUUGUAUAGUGUUCAGACAUUUUUUUUUUCAGAAUCUAUGGUUUUUGAACUGCCUUGAUAAAUCACCAUCGACGUUUGGAGAUAUUUUCGGAUAAGCAUUAGAUCGCUUAUCAUAUUACAUUGCAUAUAAAAAUAAACCAAGUUUAUCAACUCGGCAAUAUAUAUUGAAACCGCGUCAAUUUUCGAGGUUCCUAUACUUGAUUUAGAUGUUGGACUACCAACAUCAUAAAUUAUACCAAUAUACACAUUGCAACAUAAUAAAAGAGCUUCCUCAUCAGCUAGAUACUGGAGACUGAUUAAUUUCAUCAUAAAGAAACCCUUCUGCAUUAAGUAGUGUGUAGUGUAUUCAUAUCAAGUUUAGUACAAACUACUGGACAGAGAAGAAUCAUUAUUUUGGAGAUCACCAUAAAUCGAACGGUAAGUGGUCAGUUAAUCAAAUACAAUAUACAUGUAGAAACCACAAAAUUAAAUAUCAUAAAUUUUGAAAUAAAAGGAAAUCUAUUAAUAACAUAUUAAUGAUAUUAUACUAUAUCAUGAUCACCACUUGAACUGUUACUUUAGAAGUAUAAAAACUCUAAUCGUAUGAGAUUAGAAGGACUGUUAUUCAUGUCAUCUCCACCAUGCAUACCCAAAUCUAUGAAACCAAAUAUUUAAACUGUAUGUGAUCUGUGCACUCAGAUAUAUAACAGCAAAUACAAUGUUGGUUAUCGUUACAUGAAGCUUCGUGCUAGUAAUAUUCAUUAUGAUAAAUCAUUUAGCUACAUCAUUUGCAAUUGUUCGAACCUAUACACUAAACACUAGGCGUAUAAAUAGUUACCUUUACAUAUAUAAGUGGUAACGCUUUGAAAGAAUCAUAUGAACCAUAAAAUGACACUUCACGUGUGUUUCUGAAAUAUCCUCAUCACAUGAAGUCUUUACAAAUAGUUUCAGAAGUCAGGUUUUAGAAACUAUUGAGAGUGAACAUGUCAAACAUAAACAGUCUUUACAGUUAACAGAAAGCUCAAAAUAGUAUUUGUGUAGAUUCGUCACAUAUCCUUUCAUUUAUUACUAUGCAGAUUAACACUAUUCUAUUUCUUUCAUAGAUGCAGAUUAGGAAAGUUAUGUUGUUGUUUUAUUGUACAAUGCUGAUAAAUGUGAUAAAUGGAACAAGAGGUAGGUUGAAUAUAUAUUUGACUACAUCCUUGUUAGUAAAAACUGCACUAAAAUGGUGCUUUUUGUAAUAACAUGGAAACACUGAAUAAUGAAUUAGUUCGAAAUACAGAAAGAGUAUUUUAGUUUUCGAAGACAUAAACUUUGAUUAUUUCAGUGCUAUUCAAACCUAUUUCUUAUCAAAACAAUUAUAUCAGUUGCCAGACUAAAAUACUUGUACUUGUACCGUUUUAAAAGCAAAUCACUCUUUUCCCCUAAUUAUGCAUGUUUUAAAGAAACAAAGUUAAGCGAUAUCUGCAGAAGAUGUUCUGGUCGAAGAGAAUUUUUUUUUAUAUAACAAAAAUUAAUAUUUUAGUGAAGUGGGAAAUAUCAGAAGUUCCAGUUAUUUUUGGCAGAGAUGUUAAGCUAACUUGCAAAAUAUCGGACACAAAACACAAAACAAGCCACUGGAGGAGACGAAUGUGGUUUGGUGGACCAGAUUACAAAACAUUGUCCCUCGACGGAAAAUCACCGAAUAUAUCGAAAUACGUAACUUGGAACGAAGAACAUAGUUUCAGCUUGAUUAUAAAGUCGUUAUCUCCAGAGGAUGUUAACUAUUACUAUAGAUGUUCAUAUGGGUUUUAUGAAUAUAGAAAAAAGCUUGAAAUCAACAGUGAUUUUGAAAGUAAGUACAGCAAUUUAAUAUCUAAAAACUUGUGUAUUGUUGGUUUUUUAAGUGGUUUGUGGUUUAGAUAGCUAUACAACCAAGUUCAGUCCACCAUUUUCUACAUUAUAAUACGCCGCUGCUAAGUUGGGAAUAUUACAGUUGUUAUCCAUUCAUUUGAUGUGUUUGAGCUUUUGAUUUUGCCAUUUGGUUGGAGACUUUCCGUUUUAGAUUUUCCUCGGAGAUCAGGUCUAAUAACUUAUAGCAUAUACUUGGUUUCAGGGUUUAUAUUAGUUAGCUUUACCAUGAUACGUUUACAAACUCAUCACUCAACAACUUCCUGUUUACUUAACACUUGUAUUAUUAAACACAUGACAGCAAAGUUGAAUUAGUUAUCAAAGGUACCAGGAUUAUAACUUAGUACGCCAGACGCGCGUUUCGUCUGCAUAAGACUCGUCAGUGACUCUCAUAUUAAAAUAUUUAUAAAGCCAAACAAGUACAAAGUUGAAGAGCAUUUACGAUCCAAAAUUCCUAAAAGUUGUGCCAAAUAUGACUAAGGUAAUCUAUGCCUGGGAUAAGAAAAUUCUAAGUUUUUAGAACAUAUUCAUCGAAUUUUCCUACAACACAAGGAUUUCUGAAAUUUGGUUUCAGGGUUUAUAUAAGUCAGCGUAUACCAUGUUAUGUAAUUUUAAAUUCAUCACCAAACAACUUGCUGUUAACCAAACACUUGUAUUAUUUUGUACGUAUGAUAUCAAAUUAAACAAUUUCGUCACAGUUUCUCAGAAACUAUAAAACAAGUAUUUCUGAAAUUUGGUUUCAGGGUUUAUGUAAGUCAGCUAUUCCGACCGUGUGAUGCGUUUUCAGAUUCAUAACUCAACAACUUCAUAUUUACCGAAAUAUUUGGGCAGGCUAUCAUCAGUGAGCAGAAGCUCUCAGUUUUACUUGUUUUAUAUAUUCUGACAUAUCAAAUUUGCCAAAUGUCAAUUCUAGCACUGGAUUUAUAUAGUUUCUGGUAAACUGUAAGUCUCCUAAUGAUAUAAUUAAUUUAGAUAUCAAUGCUUUUCCGCCGAAAUGAUUCAUUAAAUGCAUUUCUUAUUAUUUCUAUUGAUAAAUUUAAAACGUGUGAAUUUAAAAUAUAAUUUUCAAACAUCCAUUUUGAAUAUUAAGGUAAUCUAGAGAAAUUCCACUAAAUUUACAAGGUGUUAUAAUUCUAAAGCGGAUUUCGUAAUUUAGAAUCUUAUGCAGGCUUAAUGUUUGUAAAGACAAAAUAGAUGCAAAACCAAUAAAAACAAUGUAUAUAAUUAUCCUAUGUAAUGUAUGGGUUUACGUUAAUGUGCUUUCCUUUGUGUUGAUCUAUAAACAUACACGUUCCCAUUUUAUAGUGUGUAUGCUAUUUGUUUAUAGUAUAACUAAUUAAUUCUCUCUCUUUCAAGAUCUUCUAAUGAACAGCACAACGAAAGUAACUGACAGUUUCAUGAAUAAUGUAUUACAAGUAAACUUACAGUUACUGAAUGUUUAUCCAAUACCAAACUGUACUGUCUUCUAUAGGGUAUGUUAUUGGUUAUAUAUUUUCUGUCAUUUAAAACUGUAAAACAGUGAAUGAUAAGAUUAAUCAAGUGUAUAUCACAACUGUUCAUAACUGUUGUUUGGAAAGUCUUGGAAAUUAUUCAAAGGAAAAACAAAAGAUAUUGAAUAAGAUUUUUUUUUAAAGAAUUCGACAGGAAAUAGCUGGUACCGAAUGUUUACAAAUAUAUUUCUCCAAAAAGUCAAACAACAUAAAGAACCCAGAACAAAAUCAGUUGAUCAAACCAGUUUUAAGAUCAGGCAAUUCUUUUGAAGUUAUCAGCGCUAUAUCAUCUAAAAGAUUGGCAGUGGUGCCAAUUUGGCAUCACCUAAAGGAACACACGUUUAAGAUUCACACCUAUAGAAAUAAGUAAAUGUUAAUAAUUGUAUACCAACAUACACGUAUUUUUAAAAGAUAACUUUUAUCGUCUAGGACAAGGAUCUUUCAUCGAACAUAACAGCCAAUAUAACAAAGGACCAGCUGUUUUACAAUACUGAAUUCAACUUGAAUUACAGUGUUUGAGCUAAAAAAUAUGGUACAUUGAAAGUCACCUGUACCGUUGGAACUUCUCCGUGUGAGCUUAUAAAUAAAAAUAUACAUGACAAACAUAAUGGU